AACGAACGCUGGCGGCAGGCCUAACACAUGCAAGUCGAACGCCCUAGCAAUAGGGAGUGGCAGACGGGUGAGUAACGCGUGGGGACGUGCCCUUCGGUUCGGAAUAACUCAGGGAAACUUGAGCUAAUACCGGAUACGUGCGAGAGCAGAAAGCUUUAUCGCCGAAGGAUCGGCCCGCGUUCGAUUAGCUAGUUGGUGAGGUAAUGGCUCACCAAGGCGACGAUCGAUAGCUGGUCUGAGAGGAUGAUCAGCCACACUGGGACUGAGACACGGCCCAGACUCCUACGGGAGGCAGCAGUGGGGAAUAUUGGACAAUGGGCGCAAGCCUGAUCCAGCCAUGCCGCGUGAGUGAUGAAGGCCCUAGGGUUGUAAAGCUCUUUCGCCAGGGACGAUAAUGACGGUACCUGGAUAAGAAGCCCCGGCUAACUUCGUGCCAGCAGCCGCCGCCG
This 449-nucleotide ribosomal RNA is filed under the name uncultured bacterium. Its description in RNAcentral is "partial 16S ribosomal RNA". It matches the Rfam family "Bacterial small subunit ribosomal RNA", at positions 29 to 523 of the family's 1533-position model. The record is from RNAcentral.